This 1005-nucleotide long non-coding RNA is filed under the name Equus caballus (horse). RNAcentral describes it as "lncRNA (ENSECAG00000059941.1)". The record is from RNAcentral. Lineage: Eukaryota; Metazoa; Chordata; Mammalia; Perissodactyla; Equidae.
AUAAAAGCGCAUGUCCCCGUCUCGGUAGCCACUGGACACCUGCAUCUGCCAACAAGACCGGAAGCAGAAAGUGACAAAGACGGCGAAGUUUGACAGUCUGGAAAGCGGAGACCAGACGGGCUGACUACCUGAGAGCACCGCGACUCCGGACAGCGCCUCUCGGGGUCCGGGAUGGGACCCGCGAUCUGCUUCAGCACCGGGGCUGCGGACAGCUCCUGGCGGAGGCCCGGGGCCCCUCCGACAUCGUUUCAGCACCCGGACAGCGGACAGCUCCCCGAGAUAAUAAGCAGGCGCGAUGAAACCGCACGUAGAAAUCUGUAAUUCCCAGCAGACUUCCGUGAGAAGCAUUGUGCCAAGCGUUUUGCAUAGAUUCUAUCAUGCCAUCUGCAAUCCUAGGACACGGGUGUUACGAUGCCCAGGAAUGGAAAACAGGAGGCGGUGGAGAAGCAAGAAGCCCGGGUGUUCCGGCUUGGCUCAGUUCCAGGGGCCAAUUACAGGACAGGUGUCCACUCGUGCCUGGUAGUUGUGGCAUCAUCAACGCCCACCCCAAAUUCUCUGUGACAUCCUAAUGAAGUCAGAGACACCACGUCAAGCUCGUUGCAGCCUCAGAGUCCUUGCCUUUGCUGUUCCCUCAGCUUGGAAUGCUCUGCUCCCCAAGCACCCCAAGGCUCCCUCCGCCUUCUUAUCCAAGCCUCAGGUCACCAAGAGAAUCUUGUCUCCCACCCCCCCCCCCAUAGCAAGUCUAUAUUAUACAUUCUCAUAGACACGGGAAAUCUCUCUGGCACCUAGUCCAAUUCUUUUGUCUUAUCUGUUUACAGGGCUGUCUGUCUCCCCCCACUACACUGUGAGCCCCUUGAGGACAGAGACUGUGUUUGUAUUUUCCCAGCACUCAUGCAUGGCCUUGCACACAGCAGGUGCUCAAUAAAUGUUUGUUGAAUCAGUAAAGGCAUCAGAGGAUAAAACAACGUAUCAGUCAAUAAAGGAAUUUAUGGUUUCAGUAUGCAC